UACGUAGGGGGCAAGCGUUGUCCGGAUUUAUUGGGCGUAAAGAGCGUGUAGGCGGCUUGGUAGGUCCGCUGUGAAAACUCGAGGCUCAACCUCGAGAUGUCGGCGGAAACCACUUGGCUAGAGUCCGGAAGAGGAGAGUGGAAUUCCCGGUGUAGCGGUGAAAUGCGCAGAUAUCGGGAAGAACACCCGUGGCUAAGGCGGCUCUCUAGUACGUGACUGACGCUGAGACGCGAAAGCGUGGGGAGCGAACAGG
RNAcentral lists this ribosomal RNA (253 nucleotides) under uncultured bacterium. RNAcentral's name for it is "partial 16S ribosomal RNA". It matches the Rfam family "Bacterial small subunit ribosomal RNA", at positions 524 to 776 of the family's 1533-position model. The record is from RNAcentral.